This 504-nucleotide ribosomal RNA is filed under the name uncultured bacterium. RNAcentral describes it as "bacterial SSU rRNA". It matches the Rfam family "Bacterial small subunit ribosomal RNA", at positions 26 to 518 of the family's 1533-position model. The record is from RNAcentral.
CUAGGAUGAACGCUAGCGACAGGCUUAACACAUGCAAGUCGAGGGCAUCACGGGAGUAGCAAUACAACGUGGUGGCGACCGGCGCACGGGUGAGUAACGCGUAUGCAACCUACCUAUCAGGAGGGGAAUAACCCGGCGAAAGUCGGACUAAUACCGCAUAAAACAGGGGCACCGCAUGGUGAUAUUUGUUAAAGAAAUUCGCUGAUAGAUGGGCAUGCGUUCCAUUAGGUAGUUGGUGAGGUAACGGCUCACCAAGCCGACGAUGGAUAGGGGAACUGAGAGGUUGGUCCCCCACACUGGUACUGAGACACGGACCAGACUCCUACGGGAGGCAGCAGUGAGGAAUAUUGGUCAAUGGGCGGGAGCCUGAACCAGCCAAGUCGCGUGAAGGAAGAAGGAUCUAUGGUUCGUAAACUUCUUUUGCAGGGGAAUAAAGUGCAGGACGUGUCCUGUUUUGUAUGUACCCUGAGAAUAAGGAUCGGCUAACUCCGUGCCAGCCGCCGC